Molecule: microRNA, 21 nt
Filed under: Canis lupus familiaris (dog)
Lineage: Eukaryota; Metazoa; Chordata; Mammalia; Carnivora; Canidae
Description: cfa-miR-578
Gene: cfa-miR-578
Source: miRBase by way of RNAcentral
CUUCUUGUGCUCUAGAUUGGU